CUGGCUCUCGAGGAUGCCUGCAUGCACCCAGCCACUCUGACUAAUGCCCUCUGGACCCCCGAACCAACACCCAUAGGGCGCACCACACUAUGGUGCACAAAAACCACUUUAAACACUUGGAAACAAUGGGCCUCAGUGGUCUUAGACACACAGACACUGUUCAAGGAAGCACCACUCACGACACUGCAGGCCAGUUCACCCGACCUCCCCCUACAAACAUGGUCGACCCUAGGGAUCCG
Non-coding RNA from Pelobates cultripes (western spadefoot toad), 239 nucleotides. Lineage: Eukaryota; Metazoa; Chordata; Amphibia; Anura; Pelobatidae. The record is from the annotation of a GenBank genome assembly.